GUAUAUAGUUUAUAGGCACAAGGCCCAAUAAUACAUUCUGUUACAUUUUUAGGGGUAUGUGAAAAACAUAGGCCUGAACAAUGCAAGGAAAGCUGGCUUAACACGCACAGCAGUCCUCCCGACCGAGUUGCCUCGGAAAUUACUAUUCAGGUCUACAAAGGGUGCACAGGUGGAAAGAUAAAGAUGACGGGCGUGCACAUGUCUCCGAAAAGACCAGCUACAACCACAUCAAGUUCAUUCAAUAAUGAUCCUUCCGCAGGUUCACCUACGGAAA
This 274-nucleotide unclassified non-coding RNA is filed under the name uncultured fungus. RNAcentral's name for it is "sequence contains ITS1". The record is from RNAcentral. Lineage: Eukaryota; Fungi.